This 968-nucleotide long non-coding RNA is filed under the name Elaeis guineensis (African oil palm). RNAcentral describes it as "long non-coding RNA (EGUI_LNC012079)". The record is from RNAcentral. Lineage: Eukaryota; Viridiplantae; Streptophyta; Magnoliopsida; Arecales; Arecaceae.
UGGAGGUGGGAUUCCUCUUUUUUUCUCAUUAGUUACAAACCUCGUCCCUGUUUUUGGGUUCAUAGGAAGUUCUUAUUAUUAGUCAGUUCAAAAAAAUGCUAAUUUUAAUUUUGUCCAUUCCAAAGGAGAAUAAUAAAAUUGCGACAAUGAAAGUGAGACAAGAUUCCGGUUGGGUUGUAUUCUUCUGAGAUGAGGAUCCAAAAAGUUGAAGGGAGUUCUUAGCUCUGUUACUUCAUCCCAGAUCUGGUAGGAUACUGCAGUGCAGACAUUGGUCUGUAAAGAAAGAUCACAAUAUUUCAGUUUAGGGGAUUUUAAAGAUUUUUGUCUUAUAUUAUUCGAGAAUAUGCUUUAAGUUCUGAAAAAAAAAAAGAUGUGUUGACUGAGACUCCUUGUUGAUGAAUGGAUGGUUAACUAUUUUGCAUUCAGACUUGAGCAAAUAAUUCAGAGUUAACAGUUGAGGCAAUUUAGACCUGAGACCAGGUAGCUUUUUAACUUUUGUGAUUGGUGGAAUUCGAGCAAGCAGAACCUUUAGUCAUCCUAGAUUUUGAAGCGAGAAAUGGCAGGUUCUAAGUUCCUGUUUUCAGUUCAUUAAAAGAGCAUUUACUUUUCUUUAUUAAUGGACAAAUUACAUCUUCUGAGUGAGACUUCUAGUCAGAUUUGCUUGUCAUUGGUUCUAGAGUUCACCUUGGAUCUUGAGCUUAGUUAGUAUAUGGCGUUAGAGGAUUCUUUUUAAUCAAUAAUAAUGAAUUUUUCCAUAUCCAGGUGAAUCUCCUUGGAUGAUUGCACAGGUGUUGCUCCAGUGAUUGCCAUCUAUUGCUUGGAUUAUAUCUGUUUCUUUUGAGGCUGGUGCUUUCCAUAGGCAGAUUUUUGAAGAGGAUCCUUAGAUUAGAAAUCUGAGUUUAAGGAGCUUCCGUUUCGAUCCCUCUUUAGGUGCAUAUCGUUAACAAAGUUUGUCUUUUGGUCCAUCA